CCUUAGGUAGCUCAGUUGGUAGAGCGGAGGACUGUAGAUCCUUAGGUCGCUGGUUCAACUCCGGCUCGAAGGA
RNAcentral lists this transfer RNA (73 nucleotides) under Gadus morhua (Atlantic cod). RNAcentral's name for it is "tRNA-Tyr (GTA) (tRNA-Tyr-GTA-20-1, tRNA-Tyr-GTA-20-2)". It matches the Rfam family "tRNA". From Rfam's summary of the family: Transfer RNA (tRNA) molecules are approximately 80 nucleotides in length. Their secondary structure includes four short double-helical elements and three loops (D, anti-codon, and T loops). Further hydrogen bonds mediate the characteristic L-shaped molecular structure. tRNAs have two regions of fundamental functional importance: the anti-codon, which is responsible for specific mRNA codon recognition, and the 3' end, to which the tRNAs corresponding amino acid is attached (by aminoacyl-tRNA synthetases). tRNAs cope with the degeneracy of the genetic code in two manners: having more than one tRNA (with a specific anti-codon) for a particular amino acid; and 'wobble' base-pairing, i.e. permitting non-standard base-pairing at the 3rd anti-codon position. The record is from RNAcentral. Lineage: Eukaryota; Metazoa; Chordata; Actinopteri; Gadiformes; Gadidae.